This 157-nucleotide unclassified non-coding RNA is filed under the name uncultured fungus. Its description in RNAcentral is "sequence contains ITS1, 5.8S rRNA gene". Lineage: Eukaryota; Fungi. The record is from RNAcentral. RNAcentral also lists the same sequence under 1 other name.
CAGAGAACAUCGCCCUCGCGGGUGACUCUCCAACCCUAUGUUAUCAUACCUUUGUUGCUUUGGCGAGCCGCCUCGGCCACCGGCUCUCAGCUGGUGCGUGCUCGCCAGAGGAUCCAAACUCUUUAGUUUUUAUUGUCUGAGUACUAUACAAUAGUUA